UUGCAAUGAUGACUAUCUUAGGACACCUUUGGAAAACCCAUGAAAACAAUCUUUUAUUCUGAGCAAC
RNAcentral lists this small nucleolar RNA (67 nucleotides) under Xenopus laevis (African clawed frog). RNAcentral describes it as "Small nucleolar RNA SNORD58". It matches the Rfam family "Small nucleolar RNA SNORD58". Rfam says of the family: snoRNA U58 is found in introns 1, 3 and 6 of the ribosomal protein RPL17 gene in humans. U58 is a member of the C/D class of snoRNA which contain C (UGAUGA) and D (CUGA) box motifs. Most of the members of the box C/D family function in directing site-specific 2'-O-methylation of substrate RNAs. Lineage: Eukaryota; Metazoa; Chordata; Amphibia; Anura; Pipidae. The record is from Rfam by way of RNAcentral. RNAcentral also lists the same sequence under 1 other name.